UCAUCCACCAAGUCUAGAGUUAUCGCAUAUGAUCUCAUGUUUUCUUCCGUGUCAUAGGAUAAUACUCUGACUGUUGGAAUACUUAGCUCUGUUGGGAUUAGUGCUUCCAUUCCAUAUGCUAGUGAGAACGGGGUUUCUCCGGUGGGUGUUUUUCAGUGGUUCUAUACGCCCACAGGAUCUCUGGUAGCAGAUCUGCCCACGAACCUUUGGCCUGUUCG
Molecule: long non-coding RNA, 218 nt
Filed under: Zostera marina
Lineage: Eukaryota; Viridiplantae; Streptophyta; Magnoliopsida; Alismatales; Zosteraceae
Description: long non-coding RNA (ZMAR_LNC003859)
Source: RNAcentral